GACGAACGCUGGCGGCGUGCUUAACACAUGCCAGUCGAACGGAAAGGCCCUGCUUUUGUGGGGUGCUCGAGUGGCGAACGGGUGAGUAACACGUGAGUAACCUGCCCUUGACUUUGGGAUAACUUCAGGAAACUGGGGCUAAUAUCGGAUAGGAGCUCCUGCUGCAUGGUGGGCGUUGGAAAGUUUCGGCGGUUGGGGAUGGACUCGCGGCUUAUGAGCUUGUUGGUGGGGUAGUGGCUUACCAAGCCUUUGACGGGUAGCCGGCCUGAGAGGGUGACCGGCCACAUUGGGACUGAGAUACGGCCCAGACGCCUACGGGAGGCAGCAGUGGGGAAUAUUGCACAAUGGGCGGAAGCCUGAUACAGAGACGCCGCGUGCGGAAUGACGGCCUUCGGGUUGUAAACCGCUUUCGCCUGUGACGAAGCGUGAGUGACGGUAAUGGGUAAAGAAGCACCGGCUAACUACGUG
RNAcentral lists this ribosomal RNA (468 nucleotides) under uncultured bacterium. RNAcentral's name for it is "partial 16S ribosomal RNA". It matches the Rfam family "Bacterial small subunit ribosomal RNA", at positions 28 to 507 of the family's 1533-position model. The record is from RNAcentral.